RNAcentral lists this transfer RNA (87 nucleotides) under Cordylochernes scorpioides. Its description in RNAcentral is "tRNA-Tyr". It matches the Rfam family "tRNA". Rfam says of the family: Transfer RNA (tRNA) molecules are approximately 80 nucleotides in length. Their secondary structure includes four short double-helical elements and three loops (D, anti-codon, and T loops). The record is from RNAcentral. Lineage: Eukaryota; Metazoa; Arthropoda; Arachnida; Pseudoscorpiones; Chernetidae.
CCUUCGAUAGCUCAGUUGGCAGAGCGGAGGACUGUAGGUGUUACAACGGUGAUCCUUAGGUCGCUGGUUCAAAUCCGGCUCGAGGGA